AAGGGAGACGCCAGGAAACUUGUGAAAAUCUAAUCAGCCACGCGAAGUAUGCUAUGCUGGCGUUUGGUGCCUGGCACAGAACGUGUGCCGUGGACCUGACCGUCGGUCAACUUUAGAAGAUGACUCGUCUUCCUGGCUGCAUGCACGGGCUGUCCUGUAAUGAGAAGAAAAUGCUGCCAGAGGCCGGGAGGAUGUGCUGUGCAGGUCAAAGCCCUGAGCCAGAAGUGAGAAAAGCUGCUCUUCAAAGUACAACCUCUGAGUUCCUGGAAUUCAGAAAAUGGUCACUGAAGAGGAAGGUCAAAGUUAGGAUUUCAGGUUUCAGAUGUAAUUCAUAUAUACUAUAGGGGAAAAGAAAAAAAUGGAGAAGGAGAAGGGAGAAGAAGAAGAGGAGGAGGAG
Mesocricetus auratus (golden hamster) is the source of this 397-nucleotide long non-coding RNA. RefSeq lists it as uncharacterized. The transcript has 4 exons. The record is from RefSeq and is a predicted model, not a curated record. NCBI's taxonomy places the organism in Eukaryota, Metazoa, Chordata, Mammalia, Rodentia, Cricetidae.